This 28-nucleotide small RNA is filed under the name Arabidopsis thaliana (thale cress). Its description in RNAcentral is "ATSL087460". The record is from RNAcentral. Lineage: Eukaryota; Viridiplantae; Streptophyta; Magnoliopsida; Brassicales; Brassicaceae.
AUUUUUGCAAUGCCCUUUUAUAAUUAAU